AUUGAACGCUGGCGGAAUGCUUUACACAUGCAAGUCGAACGGCAGCACGGACUUCGGUCUGGUGGCGAGUGGCGAACGGGUGAGUAAUGUAUCGGAACGUGCCCAGUCGUGGGGGAUAACGUAGUGAAAAUUACGCUAAUACCGCAUACGAUCUAUGGAUGAAAGCGGGGGAUCGCAAGAACUCGCGCGAUUGGAGCGGCCGAUAUCAGAUUAGGUAGUUGGUGGGGUAAAGGCCCACCAAGCCAACGAUCUGUGGCUGGUCUGAGAGGACGACCAGCCACACUGGAACUGAGACACGGUCCAGACUCCUACGGGAGGCAGCAGUGGGGAAUUUUGGACAAUGGGCGAAAGCCUGAUCCAGCCAUUCCGCGUGAAGGAUGAAGGCCCUCGGGUUGUAAACUGCUUUUGUACAGAACGAAAAGGUUUCUACUAAUACUAGGAGCUCAUGACGGUACUGUAAGAAUAAGCACCGGCUAACUACGUGCCAGCCGCCGCCGUAA
This 500-nucleotide ribosomal RNA is filed under the name uncultured bacterium. RNAcentral's name for it is "partial 16S ribosomal RNA". It matches the Rfam family "Bacterial small subunit ribosomal RNA", at positions 30 to 523 of the family's 1533-position model. The record is from RNAcentral.